GAGGUCUUGGGGUAAUAGAAUCCUACUCGCCUCCAGAGCGAGUGAUGGGAGUGCAAAUCUCUCAGACCUCA
Molecule: transfer RNA, 71 nt
Filed under: Halogranum tailed virus 1
Lineage: Duplodnaviria; Heunggongvirae; Uroviricota; Caudoviricetes; Thumleimavirales; Halomagnusviridae
Description: Halovirus HGTV-1 tRNA
Rfam family: tRNA
About the family: Transfer RNA (tRNA) molecules are approximately 80 nucleotides in length. Their secondary structure includes four short double-helical elements and three loops (D, anti-codon, and T loops). Further hydrogen bonds mediate the characteristic L-shaped molecular structure. tRNAs have two regions of fundamental functional importance: the anti-codon, which is responsible for specific mRNA codon recognition, and the 3' end, to which the tRNAs corresponding amino acid is attached (by aminoacyl-tRNA synthetases). tRNAs cope with the degeneracy of the genetic code in two manners: having more than one tRNA (with a specific anti-codon) for a particular amino acid; and 'wobble' base-pairing, i.e. permitting non-standard base-pairing at the 3rd anti-codon position.
Source: Rfam by way of RNAcentral